GCUAGAGAAGCUUGGUCAUUGAUGAAGUCCGAAAGAAGUUCAGAAUAGAAAUCUGGCUGGUGGAGCCCGUCCGUUGUAGAACUUCAUCUGGGAUCCAUCCACUGUAGAAGUUCGGAUGGAGUCUGGCUCUUGUAGGAGCUUGGAUGAAGUCCACUUUUAAUAGAAGUUCGGAGUAGAGUCAAUCAUGGCUGGAAGAAGUCUGGAAGAGAUUCAGAGAAUAGUCGAUCACUGUAGAAAAUCGGCUGAUAGUGAAGCUCAGAAAGCGUUUGGAGUAGCCCGGUAGAUGAAUGGAGGAGCUCAUUAUCGGAGAAGUUUGGAUGGUAUUAUGGAAGCUCAGAC
RNAcentral lists this long non-coding RNA (339 nucleotides) under Elaeis guineensis (African oil palm). RNAcentral describes it as "long non-coding RNA (EGUI_LNC071411)". The record is from RNAcentral. Lineage: Eukaryota; Viridiplantae; Streptophyta; Magnoliopsida; Arecales; Arecaceae.